UACGUAGGGUGCGAGCGUUGUCCGGAUUUAUUGGGCGUAAAGCGUGCGUAGGCGGCUGCGCAAGUCGGGUGUGAAACCCCGGGGCUCAACCCCGGAACUGCAUCCGAUACUGCGUGGCUAGAGGUAGGUAGGGGAGAUCGGAAUUCCUGGUGUAGCGGUGAAAUGCGCAGAUAUCAGGAGGAACACCGGUGGCGAAGGCGGAUCUCUGGGCCUUACCUGACGCUCAGGCACGAAAGCUAGGGGAGCGAACAGG
Molecule: ribosomal RNA, 253 nt
Filed under: uncultured bacterium
Lineage: Bacteria
Description: partial 16S ribosomal RNA
Rfam family: Bacterial small subunit ribosomal RNA
Source: RNAcentral